AGCCUACGGGGGGCAGCAGUGAGGAAUAUUGGUCAAUGGCCGAGAGGCUGAACCAGCCAAGUCGCGUGAGGGAAGACGGCCCUACGGGUUGUAAACCUCUUUUGUCGGGGAGCAAAGCGAGUCACGUGUGACUCAUUGAGAGUACCCGAAGAAAAAGCAUCGGCUAACUCCGUGCCAGCAGCCGCGGUAAUACGGAGGAUGCGAGCGUUAUCCGGAUUUAUUGGGUUUAAAGGGAGCGCAGGCGGAGGGGCAAGUCAGCGGUCAAAUUGCGGGGCGCAACCCCGUACGGCCGAUGAAA
This 298-nucleotide ribosomal RNA is filed under the name uncultured bacterium. RNAcentral describes it as "partial 16S ribosomal RNA". It matches the Rfam family "Bacterial small subunit ribosomal RNA", at positions 335 to 632 of the family's 1533-position model. The record is from RNAcentral.